UACGAAGGGGGCUAGCGUUGCUCGGAAUCACUGGGCGUAAAGCGCACGUAGGCGGCAUCUUAAGUCAGGGGUGAAAUCCUGGAGCUCAACUCCAGAACUGCCUUUGAUACUGAGGUGCUUGAAUCCGGGAGAGGGAUGUGGAAUUCCAGGUGUAGCGGUGAAAUGCGUAGAUAUCUGGAGGAACACCGGUGGCGAAGGCGACAUCCUGGACCGGCAUUGACGCUGAGGCGCGAAAGCCAGGGGAGCAAACGGG
Molecule: ribosomal RNA, 253 nt
Filed under: uncultured bacterium
Lineage: Bacteria
Description: partial 16S ribosomal RNA
Rfam family: Bacterial small subunit ribosomal RNA
Source: RNAcentral